CCCCCCCCCCCCCCCCCCCCCCCCCCCCCCCCCCCCCCCCCCCCCCCCCCCCUGCGCUGCCUGUGCCGCCCAUCCCCGCGGGGGCUGCAGCCAUGCAGCGCAGCCUCAGGGACACGGUGCCUGAGAAACAGAAUGAGAGCAAACGCUUCCAAGAGGAACAUGGAUGUGACCAGGAGCUGUCCCAAGUGACAGAAGGCUUUGAGCUCUUUCAAGAGGACAGUGAGUGUGAACAGGAGCUGUCCCUUGUGGAAGAUGAGAGCGAGCUCUCUCCAGAUGACAGCACAGCUGAGGAGCUGCUGUUCAAAGUAGAAGAGUCCAUUGAGCUCUUGCCAGGGGACAGCGACAUUGAGCCAGAGCUGUCCGAGGUGGAAGAGGCCAGAGAGGUCACUUCAGGGGACAGCACAAAUGAGGAGGAGCUGUCCCCUGUGGAAGAGGCCACUGAAAUCGGUCCAGGGGACACCACAAGUGACCAGCAGCUGACCCCCGUGGAGGAUUACAGCGAGCUCUUUCCAGUGGACAGCACAAGGGAGAAGGAGCUGCCCGAUGUUGAAGAGGACAUCAAAGUCACUCCAGGGGGCAGCACAAGUGACGAGAAUCUGUCCCCAGUGGAAGAAACCAUCAAUGCCAUUUCAGGGGACAACCUGAGUGAAGAGGAGCAGUCCCCAGUGGAAGAGGCCAUCGAGGAUGGUCCGGAAAACAUCACAAGUGACCAGCAUCUGUCCAAAUUUGGAGAGGCCAUCGAGCUCUUCCCAGGGGACAGCUUCCCGGGUGAAGAAAAGCAUGAAGAAGAGGCGUCUCAAGGGGAGAAUGACUGUGCCAAAGAGCUGCCCCAAUGCGAUUACAACGAGCAUGAGAAGCUUUCCCCAGAAGAUGAUAAAUAUGAAACAGAGCUGUGCUUUGGGGAAGAGUGUGACAUCCAAGACAUGUUCCCACAGGCAGCAGAUGACAAUGAACAUCUGUCCCUAUGUGAAGAACAUGAACAUGAGGAGGUGACAAGGGGGGCCCUGCUCGGUGGUAGGGACAGUGGUUCAAGCUCAUCCCCUGAACUGAAACCACCGGGGACACGGAGCCCGCUCAGUGUCCUGUUCAGUACUCCAGGCAGCAGCCAGGCUCAGCUCCCCUUGAGCCAGAGGAGCAGCAGGGAGCCCCCGAGGCAGGCUGUGCCGGAGCUGCAGGCACUGGGGCAGCAGCGGCAGCAGCAGCAGGAUGCCCUGGAGCCCUGGAGUGCUGCAGGAAGGGCAGCAGCAGCUCCCCCAGAAAGGGAAGGGAGCUGCGUGGCUGCCCCGCUCAGCCCCCCCAGGCCCUGGCCUGCCCAGCCGGGAGCCCAGGCCCUCCGCGGGCAGCCGGCUGCCUCCAGGAAACGUCCCUCCCGCUUCAGGCGGGCGCUGCGGGCGCUGCGGGGGCUGAUCCGUGUGCCCUGCCUGGGGCCGCGGCCCGAGGAAUGAAGGAGACCAGGGAGAGGAUGAAGAAGUGUUAGAGAAUGAAGAAGAAGAUGACGAUAAAGAGGACAAAUGGAAAUGACAAAGAACAGGAAGAAGACAAUGACUGAAACUAAGAAGAUAAAGAAGACGGACAAGACGUAUUUAAGAAUACAUGGAAGAAUAGUAAUAAGAAUUUAAAAUAUUAUAAAGGAGUAAUAGGAAUAGGAAUAAGAAUUUAAUAAUAUAUUUAAGAAGAAGAGGAGUAAUAAGAUAAAGGAUUUAAAUAUAUAUUGAAGAAGAAGCAGAAGAAUAGGAAUGGGAAUAGGAAGAGGAAGCGGAAUAGGAAUAAGAAUAGGAAGAGGAAGAGGAAUAGGAAUAGGAAUAAGAAUUUAAAAAUAUAUAGAAGAAGUGAAGAAGAAGAGUAGUAAGAAAUAGAAGAGUAGUGAGAAGAAGAACAAUAAAAAGAAUAAUUUAAGAAUACAAAAAUGAAAAGUUAAAGAAUUAGUAAAAUUAGUAAAUAAUAAGUAUUAAAUAUUUACAUUACAGUCUAUGAUAUAAAAACAUGAAUAUACAAAAUGUUGUUAUUAUGAUAUGU
Molecule: long non-coding RNA, 2016 nt
Filed under: Ficedula albicollis (Collared flycatcher)
Lineage: Eukaryota; Metazoa; Chordata; Aves; Passeriformes; Muscicapidae
Description: lncRNA (ENSFALG00000023118.1)
Source: RNAcentral